Molecule: non-coding RNA, 361 nt
Organism: Triticum urartu
Lineage: Eukaryota; Viridiplantae; Streptophyta; Magnoliopsida; Poales; Poaceae
Source: RefSeq, a predicted model, not a curated record
UCCAUUUAAGAUAUUAUAAUUUCAGUGAUGAUGCCUUAUUUCAGGAUAAUUGGUGUUGUUUUUGCUGCAGCUCAGGCCGGAUUUUGGAUUGCAAGGCUAAGCAUGUCAUCUAAAUUGAAGCUGAAAAGAAGAAAUAUAUAAACCACAUUGAGGAGUUAGUCCAAUGAAUGAGAUGGGAGCCCUUCAAAGUCACAUAUACAAGCGAUUUAUGUUCAAGCUUUAUACGAGCAGGCAAUUGAGUUAAUCGGGAAGGGGGUAGCCUAUGUGGAUCACCAGGAGUUCUUUCAAUUCUCCUAUGCUUGGGAUCUGUUUGAUUGAUGGACCUUAAAGCUCAUGCAAUAAUGCAUGAACUUGUCAAAAG